This 75-nucleotide transfer RNA is filed under the name Chlamydiota bacterium. RNAcentral describes it as "Chlamydiae bacterium tRNA-Lys". It matches the Rfam family "tRNA". Rfam says of the family: Transfer RNA (tRNA) molecules are approximately 80 nucleotides in length. Their secondary structure includes four short double-helical elements and three loops (D, anti-codon, and T loops). Further hydrogen bonds mediate the characteristic L-shaped molecular structure. tRNAs have two regions of fundamental functional importance: the anti-codon, which is responsible for specific mRNA codon recognition, and the 3' end, to which the tRNAs corresponding amino acid is attached (by aminoacyl-tRNA synthetases). tRNAs cope with the degeneracy of the genetic code in two manners: having more than one tRNA (with a specific anti-codon) for a particular amino acid; and 'wobble' base-pairing, i.e. permitting non-standard base-pairing at the 3rd anti-codon position. Lineage: Bacteria; Pseudomonadati; Chlamydiota. The record is from RNAcentral.
UGCGUCGUGGCAGAACGGUGAUGCAGCGGUCUUUUAAACCGAGAGGCGUAGGUUCGACCCCUACCGGCGCAACCA